This 1594-nucleotide long non-coding RNA is filed under the name Ananas comosus (pineapple). RNAcentral describes it as "long non-coding RNA (ACOM_LNC004332)". The record is from RNAcentral. Lineage: Eukaryota; Viridiplantae; Streptophyta; Magnoliopsida; Poales; Bromeliaceae.
AAAAAUGUCGCUAAACAUCCGUACAAUAUAGCAAAUACAGAUACUUCAAAAAGCGUUGUUAUAUAAAUCUUCUAUUAUAUCAAUUAAUUUAUUAAAUAAUAAAAUUUAUUUUUAUUUUUUAUUUAUUUUAUCGACGCUUGACAUAAGCGUCGGUAUAUACGUAACAACUCUUUAUUUGCCGACGCUUUCAAAUAUAACGCUAGACUAUACUGGAAUACUUUUAAAAAUUAUUAAACGUAAAUAAAAAUAUUCUUAAAUACUAAUUUUCUUGUAGUGUGUGGUAUGACUUUGUGUGGGAUAUGUUUUUUUUUAAGAAAGAUAGCAUGUUAUAUAUUUAUUUUGCUUAUUUUUAAAAAAAAUAAAUUUAGCUAAAAAUAUAAAUUAAUUAGGAUUUGAGUUUGAAACUUUAGAUACCAACUAUCAAGCCUUUUACUAUUUGUACUAGGAACAAUCGGUUUGUGUGAGAUAUGUUCAUACAAGAGUGGGGUGGAAUAUAUAUAUUCUAUAAAACUUCAGUCCAAUAUGUGCACUACUAUAUAUAUAUAUAUAUAUAUAUAUUUGAGUUAGAAUACUAUCGAUAGCAAACGGGCUCCGUUGCCACCCAUUUGUUUUCGAUGAUAUAGUCUCUAAAUCGACGAUCGGCAUCGUUGAACAUGAUCUAUACUACUUGAAGUGUUUAGAAAUCAAAUUUCAAAUCUUUUCGAUAUCAUUUGUCUAAUGAUCAAAGGGUUUUAAAAUUUGUAAUUUUAAUGAUCGAUGUGAGGCGUUUUCUCGUUUAACGGCGUAAAGAUAUUCAAAUCAAUUAAAUUUUUUUAAAAAAUUCUUUAAACUAUUUAAAAUAAGAUCUAUACUCUUAAUCUUUAUUACAAGACUCCUAUCAUCAUUUUUUAAAGAAUAUUCAUUUUCAGCCGUUCAUUUUUGUAUCCACUCGAUGGAUAAGAGAACAAUAUUGAAAAUGUAUGAAAUUUGAUUUCUAAACACUUUAGGUGGUAUAAAUCAUGUUCAACAGUGCCGAUCGUCGAUUUGGAGGUCCCAUCAUCAAAAACAAAUGGGUGGCAACGGAGCCCGUUUGCUAUCGAUAGUAUUCUAGCUCAACUCUCUCUCUCUCUCUCUCUAUCUCUCUCUCUCUCUCUCUCUCUAUAUAUAUAUAUAUAUAUAUAUAUAUAUAUAUAUACACACACUAGUAAUACUUUUCAUAACUUAUUCGCCUGGAGAAAAAUUACAUGGUGGAGAGUCCCUAACCAAAUGUCCACUAUUAAUUAUGAAGUGAUCCAUAGUCUUCCAAACUAAUGAUACGGGAUCUACUCGGUUCGUAUGUUAUAAACUGUCGAUCAUACAAUCUUUCUAUGGAUAACUGGCCGUUCCUAACGCAAGUGGCAAAAAAAUUUGAUGAUUGGUAUGCGAGACCUAAGUUCGAAUCCUAAUUGAUUCAUAUUUCUAGCUAAAUUUAUUUCUAAAUGAAAUAAACGAAGCGGCUAGCAUGCUACCUUUCUCUCUAAAAAAAAAAAUAAUUUUUUAUGAAUAGAUUUUUCAUAAAAUAUUUUAUAUUUCACUAACGUAAUCUUAUUUUACUGUUGCUAUAUUUUUAUAAUUU